AAAGCAGGCGAGGUGAUCGCGAUCAGGGUCGAGGUCCAUCUGGGUGUCGCUCUUCGGAACGAUGGUCCAGACCAGCUUCGGCGCCUGGUUGAGGAAAGUCCGGGCUCCCCAAUGGCCAGGCCUGCUGGGUAACGCCCAGUGCGGGCGACCGUGAGGACAGUGCCACAGAAACACACCGCCGAUGGCAGGGGGCUUGCCCCCUGAUCAGGUAAGGGUGCAAGGGUGCGGUAAGAGCGCACCAGCAGCAUCGAGAGGUGCUGGCUCGGUAAACCCCGGCUGGGAGCAAGGCCCAGGGACAACGGUUGGCCAUGACACCCGUCCCGCUUCAAGUGCGCCGCUCGAGGCCGCCGGCAACGACGGUCCCAGACAGAUGAUCACCCCCCGCCAGCUCGCUGGUGGGAGAACAGAACCCGGCUUACGUCCUGCUUUCACC
RNAcentral lists this RNase P RNA (433 nucleotides) under Cyanobium sp. FACHB-13342. RNAcentral's name for it is "RNase P RNA component class A". It matches the Rfam family "Bacterial RNase P class A". From Rfam's summary of the family: Ribonuclease P (RNase P) is a ubiquitous endoribonuclease, found in archaea, bacteria and eukarya as well as chloroplasts and mitochondria. Its best characterised activity is the generation of mature 5'-ends of tRNAs by cleaving the 5'-leader elements of precursor-tRNAs. Cellular RNase Ps are ribonucleoproteins. Lineage: Bacteria; Bacillati; Cyanobacteriota; Cyanophyceae; Synechococcales; Prochlorococcaceae. The record is from RNAcentral.